This 153-nucleotide unclassified non-coding RNA is filed under the name soil metagenome. RNAcentral's name for it is "partial internal transcribed spacer 1". The record is from RNAcentral.
CAGAGUUAUCCAACUCCCAAACCCAUGUGAACUUAUCUCUUUGUUGCCUCGGCGCAAGCUACCCGGGACCUCGCGCCCCGGGCGGCCCGCCGGCGGACAAACCAAAACUCUUGUUAUCUUAGUUGAUUAUCUGAGUGUCUUAUUUAAUAAGUC